RNAcentral lists this ribosomal RNA (253 nucleotides) under uncultured bacterium. Its description in RNAcentral is "partial 16S ribosomal RNA". It matches the Rfam family "Bacterial small subunit ribosomal RNA", at positions 524 to 776 of the family's 1533-position model. The record is from RNAcentral.
UACGAAGGGGGCUAGCGUUGUUCGGAUUUACUGGGCGUAAAGCGCACGUAGGCGGAUCGUUAAGUGAGGGGUGAAAUCCCAGGGCUCAACCCUGGAACUGCCUUUCAUACUGGCGAUCUCGAGUCCGGAAGAGGUGAGUGGAACUCCUAGUGUAGAGGUGGAAUUCGUAGAUAUUAGGAAGAACACCAGUGGCGAAGGCGGCUCACUGGUCCGGUACUGACGCUGAGGUGCGAAAGCGUGGGGAGCAAACAGG